AGAGCUAAAAUGGCGGAGGUUGUGAGUCCCUGCUUUGACUCUGUUUGCAAACUCUUGUUUCAUUGUUUAAGCGAUUAAAUCUCUCGAGUAGACGCUGUCUCUUUAGAUGCGAGGGAAAAAUAGCACUUUAUGGACUUCCACAGAGGACAUCAUGUUUAAUACGGUUCCGGAAAAAUCCAGUCAGAAGUUGUUCACGGAGUUUUCACAAUAACUGCUUCUCAUGAACCGAAGCUGGAUUUGCGCGACGUCUCCUCUUGAAAGUUGGAUUACUGUGCACUUCUGGAUCACAGGCUAUUCGCAGCUGGACACAUCCUUCUACACUGUAUGCAAACAUGCAACAUCAUUACACACAGUACAAGGAGUCAGACUGGCAUAUGAGGAGCAAAGGAACCCAGGCAGUAGCAUCGUUUCACAAUGUUUCCAUCACCAUCAUCAGUGGAUGCCUUUGCCGUCCGUAGCCUGAGAUUUCAGAUUUGCAGCAAAAAAAUUUUGAUUUUCUCAUUUAUUGGAAUGCUGUGCAGGUAUUUGUACCUUGCAGCCAUCCAUUACAAUGUCACCAAGCCGUAACAAAAGCAGGAGAGGGAAAGUACAAGGCU
Molecule: long non-coding RNA, 596 nt
Organism: Paramisgurnus dabryanus
Lineage: Eukaryota; Metazoa; Chordata; Actinopteri; Cypriniformes; Cobitidae
Source: RefSeq, a predicted model, not a curated record